UCCCCCGGCAGAGACUGGACCACCACAGA
Molecule: non-coding RNA, 29 nt
Filed under: Mus musculus (house mouse)
Lineage: Eukaryota; Metazoa; Chordata; Mammalia; Rodentia; Muridae
Source: RNAcentral